GUGGGGAAUCUUGCGCAAUGGGCGAAAGCCUGACGCAGCCAUGCCGCGUGAAUGAUGAAGGUCUUAGGAUUGUAAAAUUCUUUCACCGGGGACGAUAAUGACGGUACCCGGAGAAGAAGCUCCGGCUAACUUCGUGCCAGCAGGAGCGGUAAUACGAGAGCCUCAAGCGUUAUCCGGAAUCAUUGGGCGUAAAGGGUGCGUAGGUGGUUUGAUUAGUCUCCCGCUAAAACUUCGAGCUUAACUCGAAAAGAGCGGGGGAAACGGUCAAACUAGAGUAUGUGAGAGGUGUGUGGAACUCAUGGUGUAGGGGUGAAAUCCGUUGAUAUCAUGGGGAACACCAAAAGCGAAGGCAGCACACUGGCACAUCACUGACACUGAGGCACGAAACCUAAGGUAGCGAAUGGGAUUAGAUACCCGUGUAGUCC
Molecule: ribosomal RNA, 425 nt
Filed under: uncultured bacterium
Lineage: Bacteria
Description: bacterial SSU rRNA
Rfam family: Bacterial small subunit ribosomal RNA
Source: RNAcentral